GAUGAAGAACGCAGCGAAAUGCGAUAAGUAGUGUGAAUUGCAGAAUUCCGUGAAUCAUCGAGUCUUUGAACGCACAUUGCGCCCCCUGGUAUUCCGGGGGGCAUGCCUGUCCGAGCGUCAUUGCAACCCUCAAGCACGGCUUGUCUAAUGGGCGGUUCGUCUGCGGCCAUCCGCCGGAGACGCCCCCGAAAUGCAGUGGGGAUGUUCGCUAAAUCGCAGCGUCAGGAAUGGAAAUAAACAAUGCUGACGGCUCGAUGUCGAACGUCCACCUAAGGCGUGCCGCCCCCCCGGGGUGUGCCGCCCAACCUCUCUCGGUUGACCUCGGAUCAGGUAGGGAUACCCGCUGAACUUAAGCAUAUCAAUAAGCGGAGGA
Molecule: unclassified non-coding RNA, 373 nt
Filed under: soil metagenome
Description: partial contains 5.8S ribosomal RNA, internal transcribed spacer 2, and large subunit ribosomal RNA
Rfam family: 5.8S ribosomal RNA (bases 1-120)
Source: RNAcentral